CUCCAAGUCGAGCUGUUUGCAGGAGGCAUGACUGAAGUCACAGGCCCUGAGUUCAAAUCCUGCCUCGGACGCAGUUCAGUAGGUAACAUCCUGGCUGGAGUCCAAGGCCCUAGUUUCAGCCUCACACUCACCAUCUCUGCAGCCUCUUUGGGCCUGUCACUACCCUAGGAGGAAGAGGAAGUCGGAGAGAAUGAAUCCCGAGGUCCCUCCAGGCUCCAGAGCCAGGAGCCAGGAACUUUGGACUUUGUCGCUCAGCCUCAGGCAGGCACUUUCCUCUUGUGGACACACACCCAUUGGCUUCUCAGGUUUGGCUGCACUGGGAGAGUUGUGGGCUGUCCUGGAGCCUGGGUUUGACAGCUCUGGACCAGAGGACCUUUAAAGUCCCUUCCAGCUCCAGAUAUGCCUCCCGUGAUUUUUUUGAUAUCUUUGCUGGUCCUGGGGGAUCCAGGUCUGGCAGGACCUGAGACACCCUCGUGUCCUUCGCUCCCUAUCUCCAACCCUUAGCGUUUUAAAGCUGAGGAAACUGGAACCAAUUGAUCAAUAGCCAUUUGUUAAGCCGCUGCCAUGGGCCGGGCAUUAUACUAGGGACUGAGAAUAUGAAGACAAAGACAAAACAGCCCCUGCCUACAAAGAUCUUUUGUUCUUUUAGGGGAGAAUUUGUAUAAAGUAAAACUCUUUUCUUCCCCCCAUUAAGUAUGACUUGCUAGGUUGCAGGAGCUACCAGGGAGGAUCUUCUUCCAAGUGAAAUCAACACCUUUGCAAAGCUUCCAGUCUCGGAGUAUUGUCCAGGGCACCGAAGAUAACCAUUGAGUGAUUGGUUCAAGGUCACACUGCCUGCCUGGGGCUGUGGUGGGACAUUCCUGACUCAGAGGUCAGCCUCCUGCUCUUCUUUAUACAGAAAGUGGAAAUACAGCGAGCCUGCCAUAACGCUCUGGCCACUCAUACUCCUAUCUGAAGCCUCCUGCAUAUGCCGUCUCCUUCUAUUAAAAUUUAAAAUCCUUUAAAGCAGACACUGACUUCUGUUUAUAUUGCCAGUGUUUAGCAUAGCUCCUCCUACCUAGGAAGGACUUCAUCAAUGUUUGUUCUUUCAUUCAUUCAUUCAUUCAU
Molecule: long non-coding RNA, 1107 nt
Filed under: Vombatus ursinus (common wombat)
Lineage: Eukaryota; Metazoa; Chordata; Mammalia; Diprotodontia; Vombatidae
Description: lncRNA (ENSVURG00010010579.1)
Source: RNAcentral